CCCCCAAUGUAUUCCCAGUGUACAGAAGACCAGAAAGAAGAUGAAGAUUAUUUCCUUAGAGAUCCAAAUGCAACAAAAAUGGACAGUGAUUGAAGAUGGUACAGACCCAUACUGCUGGGUGAUGUCUGCCCUAUAGAUUCCCCUCAAAGAGAAUAUGGGAUAUUCUGAAGGAAUCCUUGAUGUUUUCAAUUACUCUUCUGCUCUGGAAAGUAUCUUCUUGACAACUGAUAAAUUCUGUGUGGAAUAUUCUGUAGUAACAAACCUCAUCUGUGCUUCCAUAUCUGAAUGAAUUAUUAGAAGACGCCCAGUCUAUUUGGUCAUAACAUUUUCUGUUUUGUACCCCUACACACUCUCUUGCCAUGGAUGCUGCCACUGGUGGAAUGAACAAGACACAAAAGGUCCCUACGGUCCAACCUGCCCUCCUACCUCACCUUCUCAGUCCUCUGAAGACUUUUCCAGAAAAAGCCAAGCAGAAUGUACUUUCCCAGAGCUUAUAACUGUGAGCCGAGGAUGAGGAAAGGGCUUCCCUACAUUCUACUCUUGAGUUCUUGGGUUUGUAUAUCUACAGUAACAGCAAUAAUUCCUGGAUCUGGGAUUCAAGCGCUGCAUCACAUCCCCCGAUUGUCUGACUCUGCAUACAAGUUUAAUAGUACAAUGGAACCUAUAGUAAAAAGAAUUGUCACUUUAUUAGCUUCAAUAUAGAUUAUUUAUUUCUAUACAAAUAUGUUGUUAUUUAAAUUUUCUGAUGUCUAAUGUCUAACCCUUUUUAAAAAUAAAAGAGAAAAAUAUAUUUUAACGUCCUGCAAAACGAAAUAUUUUAUAAAUGCUACGGGGACAUAUUAAACCUCUUUAUCCUAGACAGGUUCCAGAUCAGCACCUGCCCCCAACUUACCUGUAGCCUUUUCUUUUUUCAAAUAGAGCUUUUUGAACUCUGUGCUAUUCUUGUAAAGUAGUUGCAGAUGUGAGCUGCAAGGGCAGCCUCGCCGGGCACACGUACCCACGUGUGACAAUGCGCUCGGCGGCAGCGGCGGCUGCUCCCGGUUUGCGGGCGGCGAGCGCGUGGUGGUGUGCGGGAAGAGGAAACGCACCGCACAGCCGGGCGGGG
This 1105-nucleotide long non-coding RNA is filed under the name Falco tinnunculus (common kestrel). Its description in RNAcentral is "lncRNA (ENSFTIG00000010029.1)". The record is from RNAcentral. Lineage: Eukaryota; Metazoa; Chordata; Aves; Falconiformes; Falconidae.